UCCCGUAUGGCUCAGUUGGUAGAGCAUAGUGCUUGCAACACCAGGGUUGUGGGUUUGAUUCCCACAGGGGAC
Salmo salar (Atlantic salmon) is the source of this 72-nucleotide non-coding RNA. The record is from Rfam. NCBI's taxonomy places the organism in Eukaryota, Metazoa, Chordata, Actinopteri, Salmoniformes, Salmonidae.